This is a long non-coding RNA of Lucilia sericata (common green bottle fly), 1126 nucleotides long. RefSeq lists it as uncharacterized. Lineage: Eukaryota; Metazoa; Arthropoda; Insecta; Diptera; Calliphoridae. The record is from RefSeq and is a predicted model, not a curated record. The transcript has 2 exons.
AACUAGUCACAGCCUUUGAUGUUUGCAAUUUUGCCGCAUUUAAUAUUCUUGUUGGAUAUACCUAACUAGUAGAAGUAUUUAUAAUAUUUUACUAUGUUGUUUUACGACAUUUCUAUUUGUAUAGUUCAUUAAAACUGCGACUACUUUUGAUGCCUGUUUUAAUAUUCUUGAUCAAUAACAUUGCUUGACAAAAUUCAAGUUUAUUUCGUGUAAGAACUUGUAUACAGUAUGCAGGCAUUUUUUAAUAGCAAAAAACACUAAAACAGGUGUUGGAAGUCAUCAAGAUAACCACCACAGAUUUUAUUUAAACAUUUUUCCUUUAAUAUAUUUUUCUUACCUAUGGCCGGUCGCAGAGAUAUUCUGUGAGACGUUGAUUUAAUCACAGUGGCCCAGAAACAUCUUUCAAAUGCUCCCAUUUAACCUCUGUCCUAUAUAUCAGGAUAUAGAAAACUUCAUUCAUGCAACGAGAAAAUAACAAGUCGGAUUUUUUUUUUGGAAAAAACAAAUCUUGGGCAGAUCAUGUUAGUUACAUUAAGCAUUGUCUGGACUUAAAUCUGGAAUGUAUAUUAAUCAUGGAACAUUUUGUUCUGAGUUUGUGAACAAACAAAUUUUGGCGGCAGUUCAUACUUUCGGAGCCAAAUAUUGAAAAAAGUACAUAUAAAAUGGUAGCCUCAAAAAUCUUGAUGUACAGAAAAACUGUUUUUAGCGAAGACGGCGUUCGAAAUACCCCUGAGAAUAUAAUCCUUGCUCAAUACAGAAAACUAUUUUUUGCUCCAAAAAUUUUGAGAUGCAGAACAUUUAUUUUAUUGUAUACAUUUUUCUCAUGUUUGUGUAAACUAGAUUUUUCCAAUAUCUGUUGGACAUAUUUAAAAUUGAAUUCAAUGACUUUAACGCUCCCUUAAAGCAUAAGAACAACUGUAUAGCGAUGAAAUUUUAAUUGUCUGAUGAUCGGAAAAUAAUUGACGAUAUCUUCCAUAUAAGUUCCCCUUUAGAAAAUUGUAUCUGUGCAUUGACUCAAAUAUUUUUUGUUUGUGAAUGGUUCCAAUGGCAUAGUAUUAUAAUUGAUUAAACUUAAUUAUCUCUUAAAUUUAAAAGGUAUUUGUCCAUAAUGGACUUAACACUCAUA